RNAcentral lists this transfer RNA (64 nucleotides) under Boros schneideri. RNAcentral's name for it is "tRNA-Trp". Lineage: Eukaryota; Metazoa; Arthropoda; Insecta; Coleoptera; Boridae. The record is from RNAcentral.
AAGGAUUUAAGUUAAAAAAACUAGUAGCCUUCAAAGCUGUCAUUAGAGGCUUCUCUAAGCCUUA